UACGUAGGGUGCGAGCGUUGUCCGGAAUUAUUGGGCGUAAAGAGCUCGUAGGCGGUGUGUCGCGUCGGCCGUGAAAACCUGGGGCUCAACUCUGGGCGUGCGGUCGAUACGGGCAUCACUUGAGUUCGGCAGGGGAGACUGGAAUUCCUGGUGUAGCGGUGAAAUGCGCAGAUAUCAGGAGGAACACCGGUGGCGAAGGCGGCCUGCUGGGCAGUUGCUGACGCUGAGGCGCGACAGCGUGGGGAGCGAACAGG
This 254-nucleotide ribosomal RNA is filed under the name uncultured bacterium. Its description in RNAcentral is "partial 16S ribosomal RNA". It matches the Rfam family "Bacterial small subunit ribosomal RNA", at positions 524 to 776 of the family's 1533-position model. The record is from RNAcentral.